RNAcentral lists this unclassified non-coding RNA (24 nucleotides) under Mus musculus (house mouse). RNAcentral describes it as "oocyte_clustered_small_RNA7678". The record is from RNAcentral. Lineage: Eukaryota; Metazoa; Chordata; Mammalia; Rodentia; Muridae.
UUAAUUCUUGCGCGCCCCCGACUA